AGAAUCAACGCUGGCGGCGUGCCUAACACAUGCAAGUCGAACGAGAAAGGGUAGCAAUACCUGAGUAAAGUGGCGCACGGGUGAGUAACACGUGACUAACCUACCCUGGAGUGGGGGGAUAACUGAGGGAAACCUUAGCUAAUACCGCAUAACACCUACGGGUCAAAGGAGCAAUUCGCUUCAGGAGGGGGUCGCGGCCGAUUAGUUAGUUGGCGGGGUAAUGGCCCACCAAGACAGUGAUCGGUAUCCGGCCUGAGAGGGCGCACGGACACACUGGAACUGAAACACGGUCCAGACUCCUACGGGAGGCAGCAGUGGGGAAUUUGCGCAAUGGGGAAACCCUGACGCAGCAACGCCGCGUGGAGGAUGAAGUACUUCGGUACGUAAACUCCUUUCGAUCGGGACGAUAAUGACGGUACCGGAAGAAGAAGCCCGGCUAACUUCGCGCCAGCGCCGC
This 457-nucleotide ribosomal RNA is filed under the name uncultured bacterium. RNAcentral's name for it is "SSU rRNA". It matches the Rfam family "Bacterial small subunit ribosomal RNA", at positions 26 to 518 of the family's 1533-position model. The record is from RNAcentral.